This is a long non-coding RNA of Beta vulgaris subsp. vulgaris (sugar beet), 520 nucleotides long. RefSeq lists it as uncharacterized. NCBI's taxonomy places the organism in Eukaryota, Viridiplantae, Streptophyta, Magnoliopsida, Caryophyllales, Amaranthaceae. The record is from RefSeq and is a predicted model, not a curated record. The transcript has 2 exons.
GGAACUGCACAAAGAAUAGAGAGGUUUUGUCGCAUGAGACCAAAAGUUGGAUUUCAUGAGAGCCGAUACUUCUUUCUGCAUUUGGUCGAUUAGUGUUCUAAUUGGCAACCUUUUGUUUUGUUAGGUGGUGAAGAUGAAGGCUAGACAAGCCGAUACUUCAAGAUUCAAGAACGAGUUCCGCCUCUUCUGUAGCUUUCUCUUUAUUUUUCUCUCACUUGGCUCUCUUUCUCUCUGUUUUUCUUACUUCAUUUUUCUGUGUUUGGUUAAUUUUACGAUUUAAUUGGCAAACUUUGAACUUUUAGGGGUUGAAGAUGACGCUGUGAAAACAACAAGGGUUAAAGACGAGACUUCAAAAACUGAAAAUGACGCUUCAAGGUGCAAAAUGGAGGGAGAUAUGAAUUUUAGGAUCUUUAUAUAUUGUAAAUUGAAGUGGAAUAGGUUUUUUGUUUUUAUGUUUGUUGUUUAGUUGUAAUUUGUAAAUUAAAUUGUGAUAUAAAUAAAAAUUUGUAUUUGGUUUUUU